GGGAAACCGGAGCUAAUACCGGAUAAUAUAUUGAACCGCAUGGUUCAAUAGUGAAAGACGGUUCUGCUGUCACUUAUAGAUGGAUCCGCGCCGCAUUAGCUAGUUGGUAAGGUAACGGCUUACCAAGGCAACGAUGCGUAGCCGACCUGAGAGGGUGAUCGGCCACACUGGAACUGAGACACGGUCCAG
RNAcentral lists this ribosomal RNA (189 nucleotides) under uncultured Staphylococcus sp. Its description in RNAcentral is "partial 16S ribosomal RNA". It matches the Rfam family "Bacterial small subunit ribosomal RNA", at positions 151 to 334 of the family's 1533-position model. Lineage: Bacteria; Bacillati; Bacillota; Bacilli; Caryophanales; Staphylococcaceae. The record is from RNAcentral.